Long non-coding RNA from Pseudopipra pipra, 1727 nucleotides. RefSeq lists it as uncharacterized. The record is from RefSeq and is a predicted model, not a curated record. The transcript is spliced from 3 exons. NCBI's taxonomy places the organism in Eukaryota, Metazoa, Chordata, Aves, Passeriformes, Pipridae.
ACUUCCCUUCCCCGCCCCUCUCCGGGCAGCGCCUCCGCGCACCGCCCGCGACUCCGCUGCCUCAGGAGCAAAGGCAACUGCUGCACGUCUGUCUUUAUUCCCUCAACUUGUUCCAUCGCAGAUUUAUUUUUUUUUUAGCUGACUCUCCCUUCCUUGUUGUUUACACGAGUUUGACCACAGGCAGCCUGUGUCAGAAGUUUGGGUAGUAGUUCAUCCUUAAAUUCCUUCUCUUUUUCUUUUAUUAUCUCCCCCGAUCAUGACAAAAUCGGCUCUUAGUAACUCUGUGGAAACUCCUGGGUAAUUCACAAGGAUAAAAUUAAUUUUAAUUUCCUAACACAUUUUUCUUAUUAGCUGCACUGAUGAUGGCACCCUGGGGUUUGGCACUGCUGCUGGGCCAGGCACUGAUGUGUGUGGCAGGAGAAAGUGAAGGGUUGGCUGCGCCUGGAUAACUUCCCAUCUCGGCCUUGUACCCCAGCUGUCAAAAGGACACAGAUACACCCUGUGGAAACCACGGCCUAGUGGCAAUCCUUUAAAGGAACAGUGGAAAAGUGCAGUACUCCACCAAUGGACAGUAUGAGACCUCACAAGCUCAUUUGGCCUGACAAAGAAUGAAGGCAAAGAAAGCGACUGCUGGGUUAAACAUUAGGAUCCCUAGCACAGUUUCUGUUCAGACCCACUGUUUUGCACAGGGAAGCCCAUUGCACACAGCAACUGCUCAUCACUACCCCGUGCAAAUGAAGGACACAAUGACAUCUUGUAUGAUGUCCAAGGUUUGAGAAGACCAAGCCAGACCACCAUCCAGAAAGACCUCCCCUAGACCCUGAAAAUUCUGAAUGCCGACUAAGAUGACUAAUUUUAGAGAAAACCUCAAGAAAACCCAGAAAAAUAGAAAACUUUCAACUUAGGAGGAUGGAGUCCUUAUCCAACUGUCUAUAUAAUUCUGAACUUUAUAUUCAAUACUAUAUUUUAAUACUUAACAAUAUUAGCCCUAGAUUUCUUCACUCAUACAGCAUCUUGACAUGAUGAAUUUUUUCUCUUUUGCUGUCCUAAACCUAACAGGUUGCUUGGGUUACAUCUCUCUCCCAUUUAGCAGGUCCUAGGGUGAAAAAUGAACACUUCCUUGGGGAAUGAGAAGCAGCUUCAAGAGAUACGGUUUAAAAUGUUUGCAUGGGCAGAAGAUUAAAUAUUCUUACUGGGCCUGAUUAAUUUUCCUGUUUUCUGCUUGAUGAAAGUAUCUUUGACUUCUUUAUGUGUCAUGGCUCAGUGUUUUCAUUGCAGUUUUUAUUGCUGUUUUAAGACGAGAUUGUCACUUUUAGCCUUUCUCAAGUUGUUUCUCUCUGAAGAAAUAUUCAUGAUAAGGGCCACCGGAAUUUUCACUUUUACUCCAGUUAAGGAGGCCUUUUCUGUCUACUGAUUAAUGAAAGCCCAGCAAAAUUGCGACAAUAUAGUUAUACAUGCAUAUUGUACAAACAAUGGAGAGGACUAGAAUAUGUGGUUCAUUUUUAUUCACAUUUAGGUGAAUUUCAUAUUGCUGUAGAUGCAGAUACAUGAGGGUACAUGGGGCUUAGAAGCUUAGCAAAAGCAAAUCUGUCAGUGCUGCUUGAAAGCAUUUUAAAUAUCUGUGAUCACAAUGGUUUUGCUAUUACCACUUGGGACUGCGAGCAAAGGAAUCCUGAAGAGGCAAGAAUUGCUUUGAAGUGACAAAUAAAAAAACCCUUCAUCUGUUA